AUACGUAGGGUGCGAGCGUUGUCCGGAAUUACUGGGCGUAAAGAGCUCGUAGGUGGUUUGUCGCGUCGUCUGUGAAAUUCCGGGGCUUAACUCCGGGCGUGCAGGCGAUACGGGCAUAACUUGAGUACUGUAGGGGAGACUGGAAUUCCUGGUGUAGCGGUGAAAUGCGCAGAUAUCAGGAAGAACACCGGUGGCGAAGGGGGGUCUCUGGGCAGUAACUGACGCUGAGGAGCGAAAGCAUGGGUAGCGAACAGGAUUAGAUCCCCUGGUAGUCCAUGCCGUAAACGGUGGGCGCUAGGUGUAGGGGUCUUCCACGACUUCUGUGCCGUAGCUAACGCAUUAAGCGCCCCGCCUGGGGAGUACGGCCGCAAGGCUAAAACUCAAAGGAAUUGACGGGG
This 398-nucleotide ribosomal RNA is filed under the name uncultured bacterium. RNAcentral's name for it is "partial 16S ribosomal RNA". It matches the Rfam family "Bacterial small subunit ribosomal RNA", at positions 523 to 918 of the family's 1533-position model. The record is from RNAcentral.